RNAcentral lists this unclassified non-coding RNA (379 nucleotides) under uncultured Actinomycetes bacterium. Its description in RNAcentral is "uncultured actinobacterium contains 16S-23S intergenic spacer region". The record is from RNAcentral. Lineage: Bacteria; Bacillati; Actinomycetota; Actinomycetes.
UCCGAGUUGACCCCGGCAGUCUCCUGCGAGUCCCCGCCAUUACGCGCUGGCAACACAGGACAAGGGUUGCGCUCGUUGCGGGACUUAACCCAACAUCUCACGACACGAGCUGACGACAACCAUGCACCACCUGUGAACCGACCCCAAAGGGGAAACCACAUUUCUGCAGCGAUCCGGUCCAUGUCAAGCCUUGGUAAGGUUCUUCGCGUUGCAUCGAAUUAAUCCGCAUGCUCCACCGCUUGUGCGGGCCCCCGUCAAUUCCUUUGAGUUUCAGCCUUGCGGCCGUACUCCCCAGGCGGGGCACUUAAUGCGUUAGCUUCGACACCGACGGGGUCGUUCCCUCCGGCAUCUAGUGCCCAUCGUUUACGGCGUGGACUAC